RNAcentral lists this transfer RNA (51 nucleotides) under Sicarius crustosus. RNAcentral's name for it is "tRNA-Leu". The record is from RNAcentral. Lineage: Eukaryota; Metazoa; Arthropoda; Arachnida; Araneae; Sicariidae.
UUUUCACAUUGGCAGACAAAUGCAAUAGACUUAGACUCUAACUAAACCAAC